This 738-nucleotide ribosomal RNA is filed under the name uncultured bacterium. RNAcentral's name for it is "bacterial SSU rRNA". It matches the Rfam family "Bacterial small subunit ribosomal RNA", at positions 51 to 756 of the family's 1533-position model. The record is from RNAcentral.
CUAUAAUGCAGUCGAGCGAGCCGAACUAAUUGAUUACCUUCGGGUAUGAAGUUAGGGAAGCGAGCGGCGGAUGGGUGGGUAACACGUGGGUAACCUACCCUAUAGUCUGGGAUACCACUUGGAAACAGGUGCUAAUACCGGAUAAAAGGAGAGAUCACAUGAUUUCUUUUUGAAAGGCGGCGUAAGCUGUCGCUAAAGGAUGGACCCGCGGUGCAUUAGCUAGUUGGUAAGGUAACGGCUUACCAAGGCAACGAUGCAUAGCCGAGUUGAGAGACUGAUCGGCCACAUUGGGACUGAGACACGGCCCAAACUCCUACGGGAGGCAGCAGUAGGGAGUCUUCCACAAUGGACGCAAGUCUGAUGGAGCAACGCCGCGUGAGUGAAGAAGGUUUUCGGAUCGUAAAGCUCUGUUGUUGGUGAAGAAAGAUAGUGAGAGUAACUGCCCAUUAUUUGCCGGUAAUCAACCAGAAAGUCACGGCUAACUACGUGCCAGCAGCCGCGGUAAUACGUAGGUGGCAAGCGUUGUCCGGAUUUAUUGGGCGUAAAGCGAGCGCAGGCGGAAAGAUAAGUCAGAUGUGAAAGCCCUCGGCUUAACCGAGGAAUAGCAUCGGAAACUGUCUUUCUUGAGUGCAGAAGAGGAGAGUGGAACUCCAUGUGUAGCGGUGGAAUGCGUAGAUAUAUGGAAGAACACCAGUGGCGAAGGCGGCUCUCUGGUCUGUAACUGACGCUGAGGCUCGA